CCCCAGCUCACUACAACCUCCCUUCAGGUAGUUAUAGAGAGCAGUAAGGUCUCCCCUGAGCCUCCUCUUCUCCAGACUGAACAAUCCCAGCUCCUUCAGCUGCUCCUCCUUAAUUCAAAUUGUAUCCCCAUGUGAGUUUUCUCCUUCUGUGGCAUUGAUUCCCCCACUAAUAGCAGGCAGAAGCUACAUCGCCAUCCUCAGAGGGACAGAAGUUAUAUUUUAUCCCGGUUUUGUAGGAACCUGACCAGUAACUCAAAGAAUCCCCUGCUCCAGUGCCCCAUAGAGAAGAUCAGAAAUGUAGACAGUGUCCUCAGUAUCCAAGAUUUAAAACUCUAUUCACUGCUUCUGUCCACAGAUCUUGACAUCAGACUUCUGCUUUUCUUCAUGUCCCUCUAGACCACUUUGGUUUCAUAUUACUCUUCAGUAUCUCAUUUGAGAAAGAAAAUAGAAGUUCAUCCCUUAGAUUCCAAAAACUUGCAUACAGAAGGUAUCUUCUCUCAUUGAACUACCGCUCGUAUUAAAGCGAUGUUAGUAUUAAAUAACAACAAUGCUCCUAUGGAGGUACGUACGUUUAUUUGGGCACCCAAAACUGUUCCACAUGGUUAAUGGGAUUGCAACCAAUGACAAGCUAAUUUAAAAGGAUUACUGAAAACAUCACCUUCACAAAUGUUAUUUUUUUUGAUUAUCUACAGCAAUAGCAAAACAGCACAAAAUAGCUGGGCACAACUUCCACAGUGAAAUGUGUGAAAUCUAAGAGGAAUAAAUGAAGUAAUGGCAUCUGUCUGUCUAGAAAUAGAAUCAUCCUGAAGUGUACUCUAUGUACAGAAGGAAAACACACACUUUGGAAAAUGAGUCAAUAUUUUCAGAAAAAGCCACAGAUUCUGAGUACGUCGUAUUCUAAUUGCUCAGCUCGGACACAUGAAUGCUGGGUUGUUCCCUGAGCCCCUUUCCACAGGCAACAAGCUUCGAGUUUCCUGUCAACACAUCUCUCUCAUCCUUUAGUUGGCCUCACUUAUUAUGGGGUUCCAGGUUCUAGACUCCUGAAGUCUCAGGAAAAACCACUUCUCUUUUUUCCUUUUCUAAGGGAAAGAAUGUUUCCACAAAGAAGCACAUUAAGAGGCUAAGGUCAAUAAUUUACCUACUUACAGGAGAAGUGAGAGUGUAAAGUUAUAAAAUAUGUCUAAAAAGUAACAGUCAUGCUUCAUGGUAUUUUCAAAGAGCACAUUUCUUUUGAAUGUAAUUCAUGUUCAUGAAACCGUUUUGAAGAUGAAAAGUCCCGUGUGUAUGCAUUACUGCUUCUGUUAACAGUAGUCAUAGAUUUGUGUCUGGGCAGAAAGAGAAUAGUAAAUGAUAGUGGCUAUGCAGUAUGGACAGUAGGCUUUAUGGUGGUCUACUUCGAUUUGUUUGACAACAUUUUGUCAUGAAAACUGAAUCUCCAUUCUGGUAGCAGCACAUUCCUGCACCUUGUCUCACAUCCUCCUUCACACACUUCCUGCAGUGUGUGACCAGGACCAGGGAAGCAUCAGUGUGAUAAACCCUAUUGGACUCAACAGGUUUCAAUCACAAGCUUGAAUUAAAGCACAUGUAUAAGUGUUGAUUUAAAACCAGAUGGAUUUAUGCACAUUUUUAUAUUUUGACAAGAGUUUAGGAACCACUGUUAGAUACACCUCUGGCACUGUUUUGUCUUACACCUCAUACUGCUACCUGCAGUAGAAAUACCUCUGCUUAAUGGGACUCUGCAGAGCCUGAAGAUGAGUUGGUAAGCUGUGAUAGAAGCUGUGAGUGAAACCUCAAUCUUGAUAAAGAAUAGAUGAAUGUUAUUGUUUUUCUUUGUACCAUAUUAUGUGUAUUUGUAUCACUCUAAAUGUAGAGUCAGUCAAGACUAAGCGCAGUGUCUGGAUGCUGUUCUGCAGCAAACAUUAAUGAAACCGUGUUAUUUCACAAGGAUUGUUGCAUUUUCAGUGUCUGACUGGAGCUAGUGUUUGCCAUUGAUAAAGGCUGUCAAGUUCUGUAGAACUGUGUAAUCGGAAACCAAAAGAACUACUGAAAAAUAAUACAGUUCUGCUGAAGUGAUUCUGAAAAACUUCAGAAUGUAAUGGACUAUGAGAAAUUGUUCAACAUUCCAUACGUCUGGUUAAAAGUAGUCUACAAAUAUGCUUAGUAUUAACUUCUGUAGAACUUUGCCUUUAGAUGCAGAGCUUGUCUUACUUGUGAAAUGAUAUAACCAGUAUCUAUUAACACUGAUAGAAUAUUGAGAAGAGUGGGAUUUUUGAUUCAGCAGAGCAGGGAGUUUUUCGGUGUCUCCCAUCCACAUGACUGUACAAAGCUGUCAGCCAACGUUUGGGAUGGAAUUUCAUCUAGGACAUUAUUCUAACAACUUUUCCGGUCUGCAGGUAUGUAAAUACUUUUUGUUUUAGUCAAACUUGUUUAACCAAAUCACGUGGGUUUUUUGCACGUUUGCUUUUCCUGAAUGUUCCAGAUUGUCCACUGGCUCCUGGGACACAACCAGAAAUACUGGAACAGAAAUAUGUCUCCAGUGAGAAAUUCAUUUCUGAGAGGUGACUCAGAAAGACUCCUGUGCAGAUGACAGGGAGUGCACAGGCAUUUCAGUAGUAAUCUAAGUCCCCCGAAAUAGAAUGGAAUAGGUUUUCAUGCCAUCAUUCUUGAGACAAGAGAGGAGUUAACAAAGAGCUGUAACUUAUAUUCCUCUUGAAAUAGUUCCUGGAAGAUUUACAUUGUUGCUGUUGCAAGGUAAGGCAGAAAUUCUCAGUUAUGCUCAAAAUACAGAAAGGUCAGAUUAGUCUCAAAAUUUGAUUUCUUUUCUAAUUUUUGACUACAAAAUGCUCUUCCGUUACAGUGUAAUUAUCUCAAAGCAAUUGACAAGGCAGAGCUGCAGAUUCGUUCACUAAUUAAUUAAUUCCUGAACUGCAAACAGUUAAAAUUUGCUUCUAAUUUGUCAUUGCACUCAUAGGUACAUGCAUAGAUUAAAAACCAAGCAAAGUCAUUAAAAAGAUUUGGACAGCUGAAGUCUAUGAUUUACAAUGGCUUUAGACUUCCAUUUUAUUGCACAGAGAUUAUAUCUUUGAAACUCUUUUGUGGGUCCACAAUUUUCCCAUAUGAAAUGUCUGUCUGAAUUUUAAACUAGGAUGGAUGGAUGGAUGGAUGGAUGGAUGGAUGGAUGGAUGGAUGGAUGGAUGGGUAGACAUUCCUACAAAUCCUUUUCCCAAAAAUGUCAACAUAGCAUCACGUAAAAUAUCUGGCAUCAGCUGUAAAUUCUGUUGUUGAUCCUUAAAAACUCUAAUCACUUCUUCAAGUUGCUCUUCAAUCUGAUAUCUUUCAAUGACAUGGAAUGGAGCACCACCACAUGGUUUGCAUCAUCAGAAACUCCAAAAAAAAAACAAAAAAAAAACGUAGUGAACUGACCACCUGUCCUGGCCAAGCAACGAUAGAGAGAAAGAAGACCAAUUUGUGCACCUUUAUCCAUCCAAUUGUUGCUAAGAAGUAAAAGACAGUUAUCACAGAUUUGGCCGAGGAAAUACAAUGCACCUAAAGUGAGUUUUUCCUCUUCCCAAAACUAAGGAAUAGAUUGCUUUCCAAUUUAUAGGUGACCAGUACUCUCAUAUCAAGCAUUCUUCCAAAAGCAAUGAUAGAAGAGGAUCUUCAGACACCAGUUCCAAGUUCUAAUCCAAACUAAUCCGUUUGUUGUGAACUGCAUCGUACCACAUAAUUAUAGAACCAUAGGAUCAAAUAAUCAUAGGAUCAUAGAAUGGCUUGGGCUGGAAGAAACCUUAAAGACCAUCUAUUUCCAAACCCUCUGCUGUGAGCAGGGCUGCCACCCACCGGAUCAGCGUGCCCAGAGCUCCAUCCAGCGUGGCCCGAAUUUACUUUUACAUCCCAUUCACAGGCCUUGGUAAGAUACAUUCUCUUCAAAUUCUCUUUGAGUAAUCAAGUUCUAGACAUAAGUUUUAGCAUUUUUUAAACUCGCUGGCAUCAGUUUCCUAAUGUAAGGAAAAUUAAAGUGUGAAGUGGACGGCCAAAUUUAUCUAAGGACUUACUGCCAUGGGAAUGUUAAAUGUGUUAAAGGCUUCAAAGAACCAUUUUAUAUCCUUCAAAAAAAAAAAAAAAAAAGCAAACUAAAAAACUAACUUCUGACUGUACGUCCAUUUUUUAUCAUCACUAAUAUGAGUACAUGAAAAUCCUUCCAACACAUAAUCCACGUCUGCUGCACUUCCAUUCUCACUUAUAGUUUUAGAGACCAGAGAAGAGUUAAAAUUUUGUGAGUGAAGUUCAAUGACAGUCAAUUUGUCAUUCAUUCACUAAGAUCAAAGAUUCUUCGAAUUUUUGCAGAUUCAGUGUCUAUUUUCUUACUGUUAUCUAGUUGUGCUGGCAAAUUCAUACAUAAGUGUAUCAAAGGUAUCAGCUUUCUUAAAAUAAAAUUUUAGAUCAAGCUUCUGCAAUACAUUUUUGAUGUCUUAUGAACUCUAUUGCUAUUGAUAGAGUAUAUCCAAGAUUCAGAAAAAUUGUAAACUUCCUCCCUUCUAUAGAAAUUACCAAAGAUUUCCAUUAGAAAAUCUAUUUUUGUUUUAUCAGAUAUUUAACCAAACAUUCUGUUUUUAGCUUCUGUACUUUAAUGGCCUAACUACCGACACCUUCGUAAGAUUUACAGCUCUAAGAUAGGAUCUGGUGUCAUUUCUAUUUCUCAGAGACACAAAAGUUUCCCAUUCUAAACUCCUAUAUUUUUAGUCCAUUUGAUUUCAUUUAAUGACUCCAAGCCUUAUGCUCAGAAAAGAAAUCUAGAAAGAUACUCAGCUCUGUUUCAGAAGUAAUAAAAAUGAUGAACUGAAGCAGAAACAAUGAGCUGUCAUACAAGAAGAUUAUGGUGGAACUGAAAAUUGAACUUGGUUCUCUUGGGUUACAGCUAGCCACACUAACAUCUUAUCCUUUAUUCCACUCUACCCAAGGCAGCCUCCAGCAAAGUAAAGCAGAAACUUCUCUGAGAGUUUAAAAAGUGUUAGAACUGAUGAAAUGCUCCUGACGAAAAGCCACCUCGGCAAGAUUAAAAUCUUACAACAAAAAAUCUUCAAGCUGAAUGCCUGCCAGAACUCACCUAAAUGGAAGUGGUCAAAUGAAGGCUCUGGUGCUUUUGCCAAAGACUGUUUACUAGAUAAAAUCCCAGAGGCAAUCAGACAUGCAAGUAUCUUUUGUGCAUCCACCUGAGGAAUGUGGACAGAAAUUGUGUAAUUCUACAAGAGGAAAAGAGGAUACUUCUCCAUUAAACAACCGUUCAUUUUGACUGCCUCCAUACUCCCUUCUUCCACAGGAGCAGGAUACUUGGCUGUUCACAACUGUGCAUAAGGUUUCCUUGUCCUGUUUUCCUGCUUUAUGCCACCUGUGAAGCUAGGAUUAAUUGACCUGUGUGUUGUGCUGUUUAUGUUUUAUUUUUACAGUAAAUAAACAUUUUACAUAGA
Molecule: long non-coding RNA, 5468 nt
Organism: Gallus gallus (chicken)
Lineage: Eukaryota; Metazoa; Chordata; Aves; Galliformes; Phasianidae
Exons: 2
Source: RefSeq, a predicted model, not a curated record